This is a long non-coding RNA of Pygocentrus nattereri (red-bellied piranha), 640 nucleotides long. RefSeq lists it as uncharacterized. The record is from RefSeq and is a predicted model, not a curated record. Lineage: Eukaryota; Metazoa; Chordata; Actinopteri; Characiformes; Serrasalmidae. The transcript has 2 exons.
UCCUUUCAGAAGCAGAGAAAGCCCUCCAUCUGGCCGCGUCUUUAGCAGGCCGGGCCUUCGCUCCACUCCCCGCCGGCUCACUGGCUCCGCUCAGGCAGAAGUAACAGCAUCAAUAGCGUAAAGCCUCCGCCACUCCAGACCGGCCGGCCAUCUUAACCCAUCUGAUCCACACAGGCGGCCGGCUAAACGGCCAAAUAUGGCCAGCAGACGGAAGCGGAGGGCCCGGCGGUGGCCUGCUUUGACGCCAGGGUCACUGUCGGAUCGGCCCGGGUGCAGAGUCGAGUCACUCUUCCGAAUGUUCCAGAAGGUUCCGGAAUCCUCACAGAAGAAGCCAAGCUUCUGUCUAAACAGAGACACUGCUGCUUGCAUUGGGGAGGGGUGGGCCAACCCUCAGGCCCACUGAAGGCGGGCACUGGGCAUAUUUACUCACCCCGGGCGGAUGGAUUAUAGGACAGUUGCUGUGCAUUGAAAUGUGAGCAAAAUCAGUGGCGGCCAAAUGUCACAGCUAUGAUGAUUAUAUUUGAAGGAAAACAGCAGGAACUACCAAAAAUGUGACAGCAACUGGCUGUUCCAGUAAUGCUUCAAGCUAAUGUGUCAGCGCCUUGUCAUGUUAACAAUAAAACUAUGUAAACUCUGUAAA